RNAcentral lists this ribosomal RNA (1204 nucleotides) under uncultured eukaryote. RNAcentral's name for it is "SSU rRNA". It matches the Rfam family "Eukaryotic small subunit ribosomal RNA", at positions 577 to 1805 of the family's 1831-position model. The record is from RNAcentral.
CGGUAAUUCCAGCUCCAAUAGCGUAUAUUAAAGUUGUUGCCGUUAAAAAGCUCGUAGUCGAACUUCGGCCUUUGCCGCCCGGUCCGCCCUAUGGGUGUGUACUGGAGCGGUGGAGGCUUACCUCGUGGUGAACGGCCAUGCUCUUUACUGGGUGUGGUCGGGAACCAUGAUUUUUACCUUGAAAAAAUUAGAGUGUUCAAAGCAGGCUUACGCCCGAAUACAUUAGCAUGGAAUAAUAAAAUAGGACGUGCGGUUCUAUUUUGUUGGUUUCUAGAAUCGCCGUAAUGAUUAAUAGGGAUAGUUGGGGGCAUUCGUAUUCAAUUGCUAGAGGUGAAAUUCUUGGAUUUAUUGAAGACGAACUACUGCGAAAGCAUUUGCCAAGGAUGUUUUCAUUGAUCAAGAACGAAGGUUAGGGGAUCGAAAACGGUCAGAUACCGUUGUAGUCUUAACAGUAAACGAUGCCGACUAGGGAUCGGACGAGGAUUUUUAAUGACUCGUUCGGCACCUGAAGAGAAAUCUUUAAGUCUAGGUUCGGGGGGGAGUAUGGUCGCAAGGCUGAAACUUAAAGGAAUUGACGGAAGGGCACCACCAGGUGUGGAGCCUGCGGCUUAAUUUGACUCAACACGGGGAAACUCACCAGGUCCAGACACGACAAGGAUUGACAGAUUGAUAGCUCUUUCUUGAUUUCGUGGUAGGUGGUGCAUGGCCGUUCUUAGUUGGUGGAGUGAUUUGUCUGGUUAAUUCCGAUAACGAACGAGACCUUAACCUGCUAAAUAGCCCGGCCGACUUUGGUUGGUCGCUGGCUUCUUAGAGGGACUAUCAGCGUUUAGCUGAUGGAAGUUUGAGGCAAUAACAGGUCUGUGAUGCCCUUAGAUGUUCCGGGCCGCACGCGCGCUACACUGACCGAACCAGCGAGUUUAUCACCUUGGCCGGAAGGCCUGGGUAAUCUUGUGAAACUCGGUCGUGAUGGGGAUAGAGCAUUGCAAUUAUUGCUCUUCAACGAGGAAUACCUAGUAAGCGUGAGUCAUCAGCUCGCGUUGAAUUCGUCCCUGCCCUUUGUACACACCGCCCGUCGCUACUACCGAUUGAAUGGCUUAGUGAGGUCUCCGGAUUGGCUUCUGGGAGCCGGCAACGGCACCUAGUCGCUGAGAAGUUGAACGAACUUGGUCAUUUAGAGGAAGUAAAAGUCGUAACAAGGUAGCCG